UGACUGAACGCCUCUAAGUCAGAAUCCGGGCCAGAAGCGACGCGUUGUCCGCCGCUCGUUUGCCGACCAGCAGUAGGGGCCCUCCGGCCCCCAAAGGCACGUGUCGUUGGCUAAGCCCUCGCGGCGGACGAGCCGCGCGGGCCGCCUUGAAUUACAAUUUCCACCGGGCGGCGGACUGAAUCCUUUGCAGACGACUUAAAUACGCGACGGGGUAUUGUAAGUGGCAGAGUGGCCUUGCUGCCACGAUCCACUGAGAUUCAGCCCUUCGUCGCUCCGAUUCGU
Molecule: non-coding RNA, 282 nt
Filed under: Ricinus communis (castor bean)
Lineage: Eukaryota; Viridiplantae; Streptophyta; Magnoliopsida; Malpighiales; Euphorbiaceae
Description: Eukaryotic large subunit ribosomal RNA
Rfam family: Eukaryotic large subunit ribosomal RNA
Source: Rfam by way of RNAcentral